Molecule: long non-coding RNA, 1084 nt
Organism: Harpia harpyja (harpy eagle)
Lineage: Eukaryota; Metazoa; Chordata; Aves; Accipitriformes; Accipitridae
Exons: 2
Source: RefSeq, a predicted model, not a curated record
UUGCAUCAACCUUCUCAUCCCGAGUUUGCCCGAUGUCUGCAUUACGUUGUAGUCUCUCCCUCCGGAGUGCACAGAUCCUCAGAACGAGCGUGAGUUAAACUGUGGCGUCCUCCAGCUAGGAGUUUGCAGAAACUUGACAUGGAGCAGAACGCCAAGUACAACAAAACGCUGGGAAGCGAUAAUGAGCUUUCAAAACUGGCAGCAAUUCCUCUUGGGUUCCUCUUCAAGUACAAUACCAGUGCAGCUUGUGUUGCUAGCAGAAAAGGGCAGGAAGAAGAUUCUGCGCAAGGUAUGCUCAGGUGAGUCGGGGGGAAGAUAAGCCUGUGCUGUUCCAAACUGAGGAAGCUGUGUUUGAACAGUAGUGCAUUCAAACUGAUAAUCUCUUUAUACUUUUAUACUUGUGACCAGCAAGACAUACCCUGGAGCGGAGGAGAAAAAAGACAAGGCUGAGCGUUUUUAAGCACUAAAGGAUUCCUUGUAACUUUUUAAAAGGUACUAUGAGGUGUAUAUGUAGCAAGAGGACAAAUUAAGUACUGAAGGAAUGAAGGAUCAGACAAAAGCAAUGAAGAGGGUGUCGUUUGCCUCCAUAUUUUUCUUACAUGAGCCAUAGAUGCUAAAGUACUUCCUCAAGAGGCCCAGCGGAGCAAAGCCUCAAGGAUAAAGAAAAAGGGGAGCACUCAGUACUGUGACCACUUUCUAAAAGAGAAAACCCUGAAGGCUUUCCUGCUGCCUGUGGAAAAGGUACCGGUUCUGGCUCUUCCGGACCUUUCGGUCUUUAUCAGGACAAGAAGGCGGCUUCUCCAGGUGCCACUGCAGCGUGGCCAGCAGCUGCCCUUGGCUGCCCCUCGCCCCGAGGGCAGGUGCUGGUGCAGGUCUGCUUCACCCCAGCCUGCUGCUUCCACCGCCUGCCCGUGGGACACACGAGUCUAACCGCUGCCCCCACCUUGCCUGCCUACCCUUCUGCAUGCCAAAACCUUGCUGGAGAACAAGGCAGCAGUUUUGUCCUCCUGUUAAGAUGACUAGCGAAAAUAAAAGCAAGUACCCCUGUGACACUUCUCUUGACAAAUGAAAGAAAAAAAGAAAA